AUCAUGAAUGGUGGUGGAGGUACACAAACACAAGUUUUCCUUUUUCUGUUUUCAUCCCUUGCUGUUGGCAUUUUGCAUCAUAACUAAAUAUCUUCUUCUUCUUCUUCUUUGCUGGUGCUAAUAUAGCUGGCCUACUGCUGUUCACUAAAAAGAACAUUCUGCAUCUUCUCAUAUAUCGUCACUUAUUGUGGUUCAGUUCUGAAGUAUUAAUUAGAGAUGUUUGAACUUAAUCAGCUGUUUGCUUAAACAUUGUUGAGUUUAAUGGAUCUUUUCUUGUAUCAAAAUUUGCUAAUUAGAAAUAUUAAUGUUUAGUACUGAUAACAUAUGGAUAAGUUAAAGUUGUCUCAUUGUCAAACAAGAUAGUUCUGUUGACUUAAUAUUUCGCGAAAGAAAAACUUUGAUACUGUGUCUGCAUGGAGAAUUUGAAAUUUAAUUUCUAGUUCAAACUUCAUAAAUAAAGAUUUGAACUCCAAAAGGAGGGAAGCUCCAAUGAAUUCUUAGGCUUUAUUUGGAAAUUACACUUUUUAAUAGGCAUCUCAAAUUCAUCUUAAAAUAACUUUUCAUCCACAUUUGGUGCAUUGGCUUGUUAAUUGGGCCAUCUCUUGGCCUCCUGUGUUUCUUAAUCUAUUUGCAAUGCUUUUAGAUUAAUAUUAUUCGAUUAGACUGUCACUUACUGGCAAAAGGAAAAAUUCAAUAUUUAGACAAUCGUGUGCUUGAUUAUCGGAUUAUAAUGUCAAAAUAUCUAUUAUGUGCUUAUUUUAGCUUGACUAUCAUUUUCCUAUAUAAUUUUGAGUUGAAAGGUUUUCAUUGUUGUUUUCUAUUAAAGCUGGAAAUUCUCAAGUAGUAUCUUAUGCAUUCCGCGUUUUUGGACUGAACUCAGUUUUGAUGGUCACAGGUCUUUUCUAUGUGGUGGAUCGACUGGGCUUUUUAUCUAUGCUUAUUGCUUGUAC
Molecule: unclassified non-coding RNA, 950 nt
Filed under: Hevea brasiliensis (rubber tree)
Lineage: Eukaryota; Viridiplantae; Streptophyta; Magnoliopsida; Malpighiales; Euphorbiaceae
Source: RNAcentral